AAAGCGAAGCCGCGAGGCGGAGCAAAUCUCAAAAAUAACGUCUCAGUUCGGACUGUAGUCUGCAACCCGACUACACGAAGCUGGAAUCGCUAGUAAUCGCGAAUCAGAAUGUCGCGGUGAGUACGUUCCCGGGUCUUGUACACACCGCCCGUCACACCAUGGGAGCUGGUAAUGCCCGAAGUCAGUGACCCAACCGCAAGGAGGGAGCUGCCGAAGGCAGGACUGAUAACUGGGGUGAAGUCGUAACAAGGUAUC
Molecule: ribosomal RNA, 255 nt
Filed under: uncultured bacterium
Lineage: Bacteria
Description: partial 16S ribosomal RNA
Rfam family: Bacterial small subunit ribosomal RNA
Source: RNAcentral